RNAcentral lists this ribosomal RNA (762 nucleotides) under uncultured Prevotella sp. RNAcentral describes it as "bacterial SSU rRNA". It matches the Rfam family "Bacterial small subunit ribosomal RNA", at positions 28 to 776 of the family's 1533-position model. The record is from RNAcentral. Lineage: Bacteria; Pseudomonadati; Bacteroidota; Bacteroidia; Bacteroidales; Prevotellaceae.
GAUGAACGCUAGCUAUAGGCUUAACACAUGCAAGUCGAGGGGAAACGGCAGAGAGUGCUUGCACACUUUGGACGUCGACCGGCGCACGGGUGAGUAACGCGUAUCCAACCUGCCCUUUACUUGGGGAUAACCCGUUGAAAGACGGACUAAUACCCAAUGAUAUUCAUUGAUGACAUCUGAUUUGAAUUAAAGAUUUAUCGGUAUAGGAUGGGGAUGCGUCUGAUUAGCUUGUUGGUGAGGUAACGGCUCACCAAGGCAACGAUCAGUAGGGGUUCUGAGAGGAAGGUCCCCCACAUUGGAACUGAGACACGGUCCAAACUCCUACGGGAGGCAGCAGUGAGGAAUAUUGGUCAAUGGACGAGAGUCUGAACCAGCCAAGUAGCGUGCAGGAUGACGGCCCUAUGGGUUGUAAACUGCUUUUGUUUGGGAAUAAUCGACAUUACGUGUAAUGUUUUGCAUGUACCAUUCGAAUAAGGACCGGCUAAUUCCGUGCCAGCAGCCGCGGUAAUACGGAAGGUCCAGGCGUUAUCCGGAUUUAUUGGGUUUAAAGGGAGUGUAGGCGGUUGGUUAAGCGUGUUGUGAAAUGUAGAUGCUCAACAUCUGACUUGCAGCGCGAACUGGCUGACUUGAGUACACACAACGUAGGCGGAAUUCAUGGUGUAGCGGUGAAAUGCUUAGAUAUCAUGAAGAACUCCGAUUGCGAAGGCAGCUUACGGGAGUGUUACUGACGCUUAAGCUCGAAGGUGCGGGGUAUCGAACAGG